AUUGAACGCUGGCGGCAUGCUCUACACAUGCAAGUCGAACGGUAACAGGCCGCAAGGUGCUGACGAGUGGCGAACGGGUGAGUAAUGCAUCGGAACGUGCCCAGUCGUGGGGGAUAACUACUCGAAAGAGUAGCUAAUACCGCAUACGAUCUAUGGAUGAAAGCGGGGGACCGUAAGGCCUCGCGCGAUUUGAGCGGCCGCUGUCAGAUUAGGUAGUUGGUCGGGUAAAGGCUCACCAAGCCAACGAUCUGUAGCUGGUCUGAGAGGACGACCAGCCACACUGGGACUGAGACACGGCCCAGACUCCUACGGGAGGCAGCAGUGGGGAAUUUUGGACAAUGGGCGCAAGCCUGAUCCAGCAAUGCCGCGUGAAGGAAGAAGGCCUUCGGGUUGUAAACUGCUUUUGUACGGAACGAAACGGCUCUGGUUAAUACCCGGGGCUAAUGACGGUACCGUAAGAAUAAGCACCGGCUAACUACGUG
Molecule: ribosomal RNA, 482 nt
Filed under: uncultured bacterium
Lineage: Bacteria
Description: partial 16S ribosomal RNA
Rfam family: Bacterial small subunit ribosomal RNA
Source: RNAcentral